UGUUCCAGAUGACUGAGGCCGGAGUGGGAGGACAGAUUGGAGACAUGCUGCAGACUCGGUAGGUGUCCAGCUUCAACGAAUCCUCACAGAAGAUGAGGCAGUCGCGUGGCCCUCCAGGUGUCACGCCUUAACCUGGGCUCUGUUGUCCUUCCGCCAGAAGUAAAUACAGCGAUGUCAGUGAUAUGAUGCAGACUGUCCAGAAUUUAACCCCAGGGAUAGAUGCAAGACGGUUCACCAGGAUCAGCAAUAUCUUCAAACACAGUUCCGCCAGUGUGACAAUUGGCAGGUUGUUAAACUUCCCAAAACUAGCAAUCAGCAAGCCGUCGUGAUAACUCACCACACAUUGACCCUGCAGGUCUCUCACCUCCAACCAGAACAUGUUUCAAGGUGUUUCUUCCUCCAGACCAGAACAUGUUUCAAGAUUGUUUUAACCUCCAGACCAGAACUUCAUUUCUAAGGUGUUCCACCUCCAGACCGACCAGAAACAUGUUUCUGCAGGUGUUCCGCCACCAAACCAGAACUUGUUCAAAGGUGUUUCGCCUCCCAACCGAAUCAACUUCGUUUCUGCAAGAUUAUUACCACCUCCAGAUCAGAACAAUGUUUCAAAAGGUGUUCCACCUCCAGAACCAGAACAUGUUUCGGGUGUUCUACCUCCAGACCAGAAUGGGAACAUGUUUGAGGUGUUCUCUUUCCUCCAGAUCAGAACAUCCUUCAAGGUGUUCAACCACCAAACCAGAAGCGUGAUCCCAAUAUGGGACUACGCAGAAGCAUUCCCUCAGGAAUGUUCUAGUAUGACUUCGGGCAAGCACCCUCACGAAGAUUCCACAGUUCCUUUAUGGAUUAUAGUUCCAGUUCUCACCCACGGGCCAGUGUUGACAAAAUUCCACAGGUAGUAAUCUUCACUCUGGCCUUGCCCUCAAGGCUCUUGUUCAGCUUUGAUUACACCUCUACAAGUUAUCAUGCGCUAUUAUCAACCCCACUUCCUAGUUAUGAAGCUCCUAAACCACCACCGCCACCUCCUGUAUGAGAUGUGUGACUUCGAUCUUGUAGGUGUGAGGUCGGAAUUCAUCAAGGUGAUAGAUCUUUAGCACAGCAUAUCAUGGAGAAAGCAAUGAAGAUGUCUCGAUAACUUUAAGUCCCAUUAGGUUUGCUUUUAUGAUUUUGUUUAUGGAUGUCAACCCCAAAUAGAGGAAAUGGAGAUCUAUGUUUUGCUGCAUUUUUCUUACACAUUUAAGAAUUAAGUGCAAACAGAUAGCCUGAUUGGCAUGUGUUCAUUUCAAAAAGGUGCUUGGGGAGGUGGGUAGCCCAGUGGUUAAGCGUUAAGCCGUCAAUACACUUAAAGACCCGGCUUAGAUUCCUUGAAAUAGGUAACGCAGGAAGCCCAUUUUGGGGUUCCUUACCAUAAUA
This is a long non-coding RNA of Haliotis rubra (blacklip abalone), 1407 nucleotides long. RefSeq lists it as uncharacterized. The record is from RefSeq and is a predicted model, not a curated record. The transcript is spliced from 3 exons. NCBI's taxonomy places the organism in Eukaryota, Metazoa, Mollusca, Gastropoda, Lepetellida, Haliotidae.